Molecule: long non-coding RNA, 656 nt
Filed under: Mytilus galloprovincialis (Mediterranean mussel)
Lineage: Eukaryota; Metazoa; Mollusca; Bivalvia; Mytilida; Mytilidae
Source: RNAcentral
CCCUUGUCUGAGGGAGGGUUGUUCUCAACCUGAUAAUAACAAACACAGGUCGAAGUACGGCCUUUUACACAGGGCUUUGAUACAGACCAAACAGCUAUUUAUAUAAGGGGCUAUAAAGGAUCCCAAAAUUAUUAGCGUACACAAUUCGAACAGGAAAACCAACGAUCUAAUUUAUAUAUCAUGUAUAUCCAAACGGGAAUAUACCAAUGAACAACAUCAACAAACGAUAACUGCUGAACGACAGGCCCCUCAAUCAAUCAGGACAGGUGCAUAAACAUGCAGCGGCUAUGGAUAGUUUUGUUUCUCCAGCAUACAAUAUAAUUGCAGUUGAAGGCAAAUCCUUCAGAAGUUCUUUGUACUUUAUUCUAACAACGAACAUUUUUUGAUAGGGAAUAUAAGUAAGGGGGAAAGUAGCCAAUUUUUUGUUCUUUACAGGUAUUUCCGGAACACUCCCGCUUUGGAUAAAUAGGUUUCAUGCUGAAACAAAUAUUCUCACAGAUAUUUACAAAGUGUGGUGGGGUGCUUUUAUGUUUAAAAUCGUUAUAUACAGGUUAGACUGUGAUUUUAAAAACAAAUGUUGAUAUCUUUUUAUAAUAUUUACAAAAAAAAAGGUGCGGAAAUGGACAUGAUUACUUUUCCGGAUGCGGGAAGCGGGA